CUGAAGCUCGACCGUAAGGACGGGUGGACUGUAUGGAAGUGAGUAUGGCGGCAUGAGUAACGAUAAAACAGGUGAGAAACCUGUUCGCCGAAAAUCCAAGGGUUCCUGAGGAAGGGUAAUCCACUCAGGGUGAGUCGGUCCCUAAGGCGAGGCCGAAAGGCGUAGCUGAUGGGAAACGGGUUAAUAUUCCCGUACCACUUGAAUUGCGUUAUCAGCGAUGGGGUAACGUAGGAGGGUAGUCUAUCCGGGUGUUGGAUGUCCCGGUUCAAGCAAGUAGGAGGGUGGUCUUGGCAAAUCCGGACCACCAUUCAACUCCGAGAUGUGAUGGGGAGCUUCUCCUUCGGGACAAGCGAACUAGAUGAUCCCAUACUACCGAGAAAAACCUCUAGUGAGUGAUUCAGGUGACCGUACCCUAAACCAACACAGGUGGAUAAGGAGAGAAUCCUAAGGCGCUUGAGAAAACUCUGGUUAAGGAACUCGGCAAAUUAACUCCGUAACUUCGGGAUAAGGAGUGCCCUCAUUAGGUGAAAGAACUUGCUUCUGGAGCCGAGGAGGGUUGCAGUGACCAGGUAGCCGCGACUGUUUACUAAAAACACAGGACUCUGCUAAGUCGUAAGACGACGUAUAGGGUCUGACGCCUGCCCGGUGCCGGAAGGUUAAAAGGAGGGGUUAGCCCUCGGGCGAAGCUCCGAAUUGAAGCCCCGGUAAACGGCGGCCGUAACUAUAACGGUCCUAAGGUAGCGAAAUUCCUUGUCGGGUAAGUUCCGACCUGCACGAAUGGCGUAACGAUGGCUACACUGUCUCAACCAGAGACUCAGUGAAAUUGACAUACCGGUGAAGAUGCCGGUUUCCCGCGAAAGGACGGAAAGACCCCGUGCACCUUUACUACAACUUGAUAUUGGGUAUUGGUUUAGUAUGUGUAGGAUAGGUGGGAGACUUUGAAACUCCGGCGCUAGCCGGGGUGGAGUCAAUCUUGAAAUACCACCCUUAUUACACUGAUAUUCUAACCUCGGUUCCGUGAAUCCGGGCCAGGGACAAUGUCAGGUGGGUAGUUUGACUGGGGCGGUCGCCUCCUAAAAUGUAACGGAGGCGCGCGAAGGUUCCCUCAGGCUGAUUGGAAACCAGCCGACGAGUGCAAAGGCAUAAGGGAGCUUGACUGCAAGACAUACAGGUCGAGCAGGUGCGAAAGCAGGUCUUAGUGAUCCGGUGGUUCCAUGUGGAAGGGCCAUCGCUCAACGGAUAAAAGGUACGCCGGGGAUAACAGGCUUAUCGCCUCCAAGAGUCCAUAUCGACGAGGCGGUUUGGCACCUCGAUGUCGGCUCACCGCAUCCUGGGGCUGAAGCAGGUCCCAAGGGUUGGUCUGUUCGCCCAUUAAAGCGGUACGCGAGCUGGGUUUAGAACGUCGUGAGACAGUUCGGUCCCUAUCCUUCGUGGGUGUUGGAAAUUUGAGGAGAUCUGCUCCUAGUACGAGAGGACCGGAGUGGACGAACCUCUGGUUUUCCGGUUGUGAUGCCAAUUGCAUCGCCGGGUAGCUAUGUUCGGAAAGGAUAACCGCUGAAAGCAUCUAAGCGGGAAGCCAACUCCAAAACUAGAUUUCCCUUCCUCCUUCGGGAGGACCGUAGACCCCUUGUAGACUACAAGGUUGAUAGGCCAGAUGUGUAAGCACAGCAAUGUGUUCAGCUAACUGGUACUAAUUGGUCGCGAGGCUUGAUC
RNAcentral lists this ribosomal RNA (1713 nucleotides) under marine metagenome. RNAcentral's name for it is "bacterial LSU rRNA". It matches the Rfam family "Bacterial large subunit ribosomal RNA", at positions 1250 to 2925 of the family's 2925-position model. The record is from RNAcentral.